UUUGUGGAGGGUUCGAUUCUGGCUCAGGAUGAACGCUGGCGGCGUGCUUAACACAUGCAAGUCGAACGGGAUCCUGGCAGCUUGCUGUCGGGUGAGAGUGGCGAACGGGUGAGUAAUGCGUGACCGACCUGCCCCGUACUCCGGAAUAGCUCCUGGAAACGGGUGGUAAUGCCGGAUGCUCCAGUUGAUCGCAUGGUCUUCUGGGAAAGGGUUUUACUGGUAUGGGAUGGGGUCGCGUCCUAUCAGCUUGUUGGUGUGGUGAUGGCGCACCAAGGCUUCGACGGGUAGCCGGCCUGAGAGGGCGACCGGCCACAUUGGGACUGAGAUACGGCCCAGACUCCUACGGGAGGCAGCAGUGGGGAAUAUUGCACAAUGGGCGCAAGCCUGAUGCAGCGACGCCGCGUGCGGGAUGACGGCCUUCGGGUUGUAAACCGCUUUUGGCAGGGAGCAAGGCGUUUUUCGUUGAGUGUACCUGUCGAAUAAGCACCGGCUAACUACGUGCCAGCAGCCGCGGUAAUACGUAGGGUGCAAGCGUUAUCCGGAAUUAUUGGGCGUAAAGGGCUCGUAGGCGGUUCGUCGCGUCCGGUGUGAAAGCCCAUCGCUUAACGGUGGGUCUGCGCCGGGUACGGGCGGGCUGGAGUGCGGUAGGGGAGACUGGAAUUCCCGGUGUAACGGUGGAAUGUGUAGAUAUCGGGAGGAACACCAAUGGCGAAGGCAGGUCUCUGGGCCGUUACUGACGCUGAGGAGCGAAAGCGUGGGGAGCGAACAGGAUUAGAUACCCUGGUAGUCCACGCCGUAAACGGUGGAUGCUGGAUGUGGGGCCCUUUCCACGGGUCCCGUGUCGGAGCCAACGCGUUAAGCAUCCCGCCUGGGGAGUACGGCCGCAAGGCUAAAACUCAAAGAAAUUGACGGGG
Molecule: ribosomal RNA, 914 nt
Organism: Bifidobacterium stellenboschense
Lineage: Bacteria; Bacillati; Actinomycetota; Actinomycetes; Bifidobacteriales; Bifidobacteriaceae
Rfam family: Bacterial small subunit ribosomal RNA
Source: Rfam